This 670-nucleotide ribosomal RNA is filed under the name Azorhizobium sp. STM 3362. RNAcentral's name for it is "partial 16S-23S ribosomal RNA intergenic spacer". The stretch from base 124 to 196 matches the Rfam family "tRNA". Lineage: Bacteria; Pseudomonadati; Pseudomonadota; Alphaproteobacteria; Hyphomicrobiales; Xanthobacteraceae. The record is from RNAcentral.
UCAUUGGUUAGAGCGCACCCCUGAUAAGGGUGAGGUCGGACGUUCGAGUCGUCCCAGGCCCACCACUGAUUCCAGAAGGUUGGGCGUCGAUCUGAAGCUCUUGUUGUGCUGAGCGUGCUCUUAGGGGCCAUAGCUCAGUUGGGAGAGCGCGUGCUUUGCAAGCAUGAGGUCGUCGGUUCGAUCCCGUCUGGCUCCACCAUUUCCUGCAUUCCGAUGAGGGAUGCGGUCGAGAUGGUCGGUGGUGAAGCGCUUCAAGCGUGAGAGAAGAACAUCCGGUUCUUUUCUCUUCUGUCCGCACAAUCUGUUUCGCUGAUCCUCAGCAAGCCCCCAUGUGGGCGAGGAUGAGCGCUGCUGUCUGACAUUGUGAAUCUGGGCGUUUUCGAUUUGCUGGCCGCAAGGCUGGCGGGUCGUGACAAUCAAGCUUUCGGGCUUGAGAGGACACGAUCAUCGGGUGCUGACCGCACCGGUGUCGAAAAUGUCGAAGCUGGUCUUUAGCGUCCAGCCCUCUCGCUGAUCCGCCUGGUGCGGAUUGAUGAGAACCUCAGCCGAGGAGUGGGCAUGGACGAUGAGAACGAUCAAGUGUCUUAAGGGCAUUCGGUGGAUGCCUUGGCGCUAAGAGGCGAAGAAGGACGUGGUACGCUGCGAUAUGCUUCGGGGAGCUGCGAACAAG